This 840-nucleotide ribosomal RNA is filed under the name uncultured bacterium. Its description in RNAcentral is "bacterial SSU rRNA". It matches the Rfam family "Bacterial small subunit ribosomal RNA", at positions 49 to 914 of the family's 1533-position model. The record is from RNAcentral.
CUACCAUGCAGUCGAGCGAUUUACUUCGGUAAAGAGCGGCGGACGGGUGAGUAACGCGUGGGUAACCUGCCUCAUACACAUGGAUAACAUACCGAAAGGUAUGCUAAUACAGGAUAAUAUAAGAGAUUCACAUGGAUUUUUUAUCAAAGCUCCGGCGGUAUGAGAUGGACCCGCGUCUGAUUAGCUAGUUGGUAAGGUAAUGGCUUACCAAGGCGACGAUCAGUAGCCGACCUGAGAGGGUGAUCGGCCACAUUGGAACUGAGACACGGUCCAAACUCCUACGGGAGGCAGCAGUGGGGAAUAUUGCACAAUGGGCGAAAGCCUGAUGCAGCAACGCCGCGUGAGUGAUGAAGGCCUUCGGGUCGUAAAACUCUGUCCUCAAGGAAGAUAAUGACGGUACUUGAGGAGGAAGCCCCGGCUAACUACGUGCCAGCAGCCGCGGUAAUACGUAGGGGGCUAGCGUUAUCCGGAUUUACUGGGCGUAAAGGGUGCGUAGGUGGUUUUUUAAGUCAGGAGUGAAAGGCUACGGCUCAACCGUAGUAAGCUCUUGAAACUGGAAAACUUGAGUGCAGGAGAGGAAAGUGGGAAUUCCUAGUGUAGCGGUGAAAUGCGUAGAUAUUAGGAGGGAACACCAGUAGCGAAAGGCGGCUUUUCUGGACUGUAACUGACACUGAGGCACGAAAGCGGUGGGGAGCAAACAGGAUUAGAAUACCCUGGUAGUCCACCGCCGUAAACGAUGAGUACUAGUGUCGGGGGUUACCCCCCUCGUGCCGCAGCUACGCAUAGUACUCCCGCCUGGGGGAGUACGCCUCGCAGAAGUGGAACUUCAAAGGAUUUGAC